UGGUAGGAGUCCGAUUGCUAGAGAAGUUCGUCUGAGAUUUGCCUGAUGUGGAAGCUCGUCUGAAGAUUAUCCAUUAGAGAAGUCCGAUUUCAUGAAGAAUCUGGUGGAGGGUCGGCUGGCAGUGGACCUCGGAUGGCGUUGGGGAGGUUUGACAGACACCGGAGGUGAUCGAUCGUUGUAGAAAUUCAGCUGCUGGAGUCCAUCCGUUGUAGAAGCUCGUCCGAUAUCCAUCCGCUAUGAAAGUUCAGACGGAGUCUGGUUCUUGUAGAAGUCAGAAAGAAGAUCGCUUAUUGUAGAAGCUCGGUUGAAGAUCAAUUAUCGUGGGA
RNAcentral lists this long non-coding RNA (326 nucleotides) under Elaeis guineensis (African oil palm). Its description in RNAcentral is "long non-coding RNA (EGUI_LNC062959)". The record is from RNAcentral. Lineage: Eukaryota; Viridiplantae; Streptophyta; Magnoliopsida; Arecales; Arecaceae.